This 403-nucleotide ribosomal RNA is filed under the name uncultured bacterium. RNAcentral describes it as "bacterial SSU rRNA". It matches the Rfam family "Bacterial small subunit ribosomal RNA", at positions 355 to 775 of the family's 1533-position model. The record is from RNAcentral.
UGGGGAAUAUUGGACAAUGGGGGAAACCCUGAUCCAGCCAUGCCGCGUGUGUGAUGAAGGCCUUAGGGUUGUAAAGCACUUUUGGCGGGGAAGAUGAUGACGGUACCCGCAGAAUAAGCACCGGCUAACUUCGUGCCAGCAGCCGCGGUAAUACGAAGGGUGCUAGCGUUGUUCGGAAUCACUGGGCGUAAAGCGUGCGUAGGCGGCUAUACAAGUCAGAGGUGAAAGCCUGGAGCUUAACUCCAGAACUGCCUUUGAAACUGUAUGGCUAGAGUGUUAGAGGGGAUAGCGGAAUUUCUAAUGUAGCGGUGAAAUGCGUAGAUAUUAGAAGGAACACCGGCGGCGAAGGCGGCUAUCUGGACAACAACUGACGCUGAGGCACGAAAGCGUGGGGAUCAAACAG